CUUGUUUCCGUGCUUGAGGAGCUCCGGUGAUCUCCGAGCUUCCGGGUUCUCAGGCUGGCUUCGUCCUGCACAUGGAAAGAAAAAGCUAAAAGAGAUUCCUUUCCUUCCCCUGGUGCUUCACAAGCAACUCGGGCCUCCUGCACGUUAGGGAAGCUCCUGCUGAGCUACACACCCAGUCCUUUAAACAAUCCUUACCGUCUUUUCAGUGCAACAGCGCAAUAGGGUUACAACCCUAACCCUAACCCUAACCCUAACCCUCACCCUCACCCUUACCCUCUUCUUUCUCCUACUUCAUAUAUCUGGAGUUGUUUAUGUUGUUGUUUUGUUUUUAGUUUGUUUCUGUACUUUUAAAGUUGAAAAUGUUUAAACCUGAGAAGUAAAAUGAAUUAUCACAAACUUUUCAACUUGCUAAAAGUUACUAUAUUGCCACUUUUGUUGACUGCUGCCAUCCAUGUGUAGUUUUAUCCUUAUUACUUGUGCCAGCCCUUUUAACAGGAAGCUGCAGAAAUCGCGGCUGAAUCCCUGAGCUUGUUUUCUCUUAGGACAAAGUCGUUUUCUUUAUGAGCAGAACAGACAGUGAAAGGGACAGGUAAGAAAGGGGUCAGUUUUCCGCG
Molecule: long non-coding RNA, 614 nt
Filed under: Chinchilla lanigera (long-tailed chinchilla)
Lineage: Eukaryota; Metazoa; Chordata; Mammalia; Rodentia; Chinchillidae
Description: lncRNA (ENSCLAG00000023967.1)
Source: RNAcentral